GGAUUAGGCAUGCAAGUCGAACGAGAAAGGUUUCUUCGGAAGCCGAGUAAAGUGGCGAAAGGGUGAGUAAUGCAUAGGCAACCUGCCCCCGAGAUGGGGAUAACCUUCCGAAAGGGGGGCUAAUACCCAAUAAGACCACAGGUCGCAUGGCUGGUGGUCAAAGAUAGCUUCGGCCUUCGCUCAGGGAGGGGCCUAUGUCCUAUUAGCUUGUUGGUGAGGUAACGGCUCACCAAGGCAACGAUGGGUAGCCGACCUGAGAGGGUGACCGGCCACACUGGGACUGAGACACUGCCCAGACUCCUACGGGAGGCUGCAGUCGAGAAUCUUCCGCAAUGCGCGCAAGCGUGACGGAGCGACGCCGCGUGGGGGAUGAAGGCCUUCGGGUUGUAAACCCCUGUCACCUGGAAAGAAAGGCAAGCGGUUCAUAGCUGUCUUGCUUGACGUUACCAGGAGAGGAAGCACCGGCUAAAUACGUGCCAGCAGCCGCGGUAAUACGUAUGGUGCGAACGUUGUUCGGAAUCACUGGGCUUAAAGAGCACGUAGGCGGUCGAGAAAGUCUAUUGUGAAAUCCCUCGGCUUAACCGGGGAAUUGCAGUGGAAACUGCUUGGCUAGAGUGCAGGAGGGGAGAGUGGAAUUCCUGGUGGAGCGGUGAAAUGCGUAGAUAUCAGGAGGAACGCCGGAGGCGAAAGCGGCUCUCUGGCCUGCUACUGACGCUGAGGUGCGAAAGCUAGGGGAGCGAACGGGAUUAGAUACCCCGGUAGUCCUAGCCCUAAACGAUGGGCACUAAGUAGAGGGGUUUU
This 801-nucleotide ribosomal RNA is filed under the name uncultured Planctomycetota bacterium. RNAcentral's name for it is "bacterial SSU rRNA". It matches the Rfam family "Bacterial small subunit ribosomal RNA", at positions 46 to 832 of the family's 1533-position model. The record is from RNAcentral. Lineage: Bacteria; Pseudomonadati; Planctomycetota.